GAUGAACGCUGGCGGCGUGCCUAAUACAUGCAAGUCGAACGAAACUUCUUUAUCACCGAGUGCUUGCACUCACCGAUAAAGGGUUGAGUGGCGAACGGGUGAGUAACACGUGUGCAACCUGCCCAAAAGAGGGUGAUAACACUUGGAAACAGGUGCUAAUACCGCAUAACCAUAGUUACCGCAUGGUAACUAUGUAAAAUGUGGCUAUACUUCCUCAUCUGGUUGGGGCCGCGGCGCAUUAGCUAGUUUGUAGGGUAAAGGCUUACCAAGGCAGUGAUGCGUAGCCGAAUUGAGAGGUUGGUCGGCGACAUUGGGACUGAGCCACGGCCAAAACUCCUACGGGAGGCAGCAGUAGGGAAUGUUCCACAAUGGGCGAAAGCCUGAUGGAGCAACGCCGCGUGGGUGAAGAAGGUCUUCGGAUCGUAAAACCCUGUUGUUAGUGAAGAAAGGGUGUGAGAGUAACUGUUCACGUUUUGACGGUAUCUAACAAGAAAGCCACUGCUAACUACGUG
This 512-nucleotide ribosomal RNA is filed under the name uncultured bacterium. RNAcentral's name for it is "partial 16S ribosomal RNA". It matches the Rfam family "Bacterial small subunit ribosomal RNA", at positions 28 to 507 of the family's 1533-position model. The record is from RNAcentral.